AUGGCGGCGCCGCACGUCAGCGGCGUGGUCGCCCUUCUCAAGAGCUUGCACCCGGACUGGUCGCCGGCGGCCAUCAGGUCAGCCAUGAUGACCACGGCCGAUGACCUGGACAACGACGGCAACCGGAUCAUGAACGAGAAGCACCAGCCGGCGAGCGCCUUCGCUCUAGGCGCGGGGCACGUCAACGCCACGCGGGCCGUCGAUCCGGGCCUCGUCUAUGACCUGGAGGUCAGAGACUACGCUGGGUACGUUUGCCAUCUUUUCGCCAAGCUCGACGACGACGACGACUACUACGCCCUGCAAGACAUCAUCCAGGACUUGAACUUGAAUUGCAAGAUCGUUCCCCCUGUGUCGGACGUCGACCUCAACUACCCGAGCAUCGUGGUGCCGGCCAACACCACGGUGCGGCGGACGCUGACGAACAUGGGGCCCGUGGAGCAGUACACAGGCAGGCUGUCCAUGGACCAUGACGUGGGGCUGGAUUUCUCGCCGAAGUCGCUGACCUUCUCGCGGCCCGGGGAGAAGCUCACCUUCCAAGUAAGCCAUCAUGGGGCCGAGGUUGCACAAGGAUUCUUGAUCUGGGAGUCGGAUACGCACACGGUCCAAAGCCCACUCGUCGUCGUGCGUUCGUGA
This 633-nucleotide ribosomal RNA is filed under the name Triticum aestivum (bread wheat). RNAcentral describes it as "partial small subunit ribosomal RNA". The record is from RNAcentral. Lineage: Eukaryota; Viridiplantae; Streptophyta; Magnoliopsida; Poales; Poaceae.